This 486-nucleotide ribosomal RNA is filed under the name uncultured bacterium. RNAcentral describes it as "bacterial SSU rRNA". It matches the Rfam family "Bacterial small subunit ribosomal RNA", at positions 28 to 534 of the family's 1533-position model. The record is from RNAcentral.
GAUGAACGUUGGCGGCGUGCCUAAUACAUGCAAGUCGAACGAAGACUGUAGUAAUACUGUCUUAGUGGCGAACGGGUGAGUAACGCGUGGGUGACCUGCCCCGAAGUGUGGGAUAACAGUUCGAAAGGAUUGCUAAUACUGCAUAAUAUCCAAGAGAUUAGACGCUUUUGGAUUAAAGGAGUAAUUCGCUUCGGGAGGGGCCCGCGUCCCAUCAGCUAGUUGGUAAGGUAAUGGCUUACCAAGGCGAUGACGGGUAGGGGACCUGAGAGGGUGGCCCCCCAAAUGGAACUGAAACACGGUCCAUACACCUACGGGUGGCAGCAGUAGGGAAUAUUAGAAAUGGACGAAAGUCUGAUCUAGCAACACCGCGUGUGCGAAGAAGGGCCCUUCGGGUCGUAAAAGCACUUUUUGGAAGGAAUAGGAAGAAUGUACUUCCAGAAUAAGUCUCGGCUAACUACGUGCCAGCAGCCGCGGUAAUCUAGUCUA